GCGGAUGUGGUGGAAUUGGUAGACACACUGGAUUUAGGUUCCAGCGCCGAAAGGUGUGAGAGUUCGAGUCUCUCCGUCCGCA
Molecule: non-coding RNA, 82 nt
Organism: Pseudomonas lutea
Lineage: Bacteria; Pseudomonadati; Pseudomonadota; Gammaproteobacteria; Pseudomonadales; Pseudomonadaceae
Source: Rfam